This 827-nucleotide long non-coding RNA is filed under the name Homo sapiens (human). Its description in RNAcentral is "long non-coding RNA NONHSAT204789.1". The record is from RNAcentral. Lineage: Eukaryota; Metazoa; Chordata; Mammalia; Primates; Hominidae.
AUUUGAAUUCAUUUGUCCCGGAGCCUCGCGUCAGAAACACUUCAUACUUGUACCUCUGGGAUAGGGUCCUGGUGUCGCUCACGUCCACCAGAUGCCUGGAAAGGGGUCCUCGGGCACCGAGCAGCGACCCAAUGAGGCCUCCCUGCUCCUCCUGCACAGCCGCACCGCCACGAACAGGAGCACCGAGAAGAGGAAGAACGACGACACCAAGGCCAACGCCACCACCAGGUAGACACAGCACGAAGAGUGAGCUGUCGUUGGCGUCCAGCACCAGCACGCGCACCAGCGCCUCGCUGCUCAGCGCCGUGGAGCCGCGGUCUGAAGCGCCCACGCGGAACUCGAACUCCUGCAGGGCCUCGUAGUCCAGCGACCUGAGGGCGAACAGGUGGCCGUUGUCUGUGUUGAUGGAGACCAGGGAGGCGAGGGGCAGUGCUGACGCUGCCAAUAUGCAGGGCGGGGCUGUUGUUCUCGCGGACGAACAGGAAUCGCGGUCUUGAAUGCUGAAAAGAGCUGCAACGGUCUCAGGAGAAUUUUCGCGGAUGGGGCUUGUGAAUGAAGCCAUGGUCAGUUCCGGAGCGUUAUCGUUGAUAUCUACCACCUGUAUUAUGACAGUGCAUUUUCCAGAAAGACCUGCCCCAUCAGAGGCUUUAAUAUCCACCUGAUAUGACACAAUUUUUUCAAAAUCUAGUUUUCUGAUUAUUUUAAUUUCUCCCCUUCGUUCAUUAAGUGCAAAUGUCUUAGAAAUCUCUUCAUCACCAUAAAAAAUGAGUAGAAUAUCUCACCAUUAAUUCCCAUGUCUGAAUCUCUAGCGGAAACAGUGGCAACAA